RNAcentral lists this ribosomal RNA (1301 nucleotides) under uncultured bacterium. Its description in RNAcentral is "bacterial SSU rRNA". It matches the Rfam family "Bacterial small subunit ribosomal RNA", at positions 78 to 1399 of the family's 1533-position model. The record is from RNAcentral.
GAAGUUUUAGUGACUGAGUGGCGGACGGGUGAGUAACGCGUGGGUAACCUGCCUCACACAGGGGGAUAACAGUUGGAAACGGCUGCUAAUACCGCAUAAGCGCACAGUACCGCAUGGUACAGUGUGAAAAACUCCGGUGGUGUGAGAUGGACCCGCGUCUGAUUAGCUAGUUGGCAGGGCAACGGCCUACCAAGGCGACGAUCAGUAGCCGACCUGAGAGGGUGACCGGCCACAUUGGGACUGAGACACGGCCCAAACUCCUACGGGAGGCAGCAGUGGGGAAUAUUGCACAAUGGGGGAAACCCUGAUGCAGCGACGCCGCGUGAGCGAAGAAGUAUUUCGGUAUGUAAAGCUCUAUCAGCAGGGAAGAUAAUGACGGUACCUGACUAAGAAGCACCGGCUAAAUACGUGCCAGCAGCCGCGGUAAUACGUAUGGUGCAAGCGUUAUCCGGAUUUACUGGGUGUAAAGGGAGCGCAGGCGGUGCGGCAAGUCUGAUGUGAAAGCCCGGGGCUCAACCCCGGUACUGCAUUGGAAACUGUCGUACUAGAGUGUCGGAGGGGCAAGCGGAAUUCCUAGUGUAGCGGUGAAAUGCGUAGAUAUUAGGAGGAACACCAGUGGCGAAGGCGGCUUACUGGACGGUAACUGACGUUGAGGCUCGAAAGCGUGGGGAGCAAACAAGAUUAGAUACCCUGGUAGUCCACGCCGUAAACGAGAAUACUAGGUGUCGGGGAGCAUGGCUUUUCGGUGCCGUCGCAAACGCAGUAAGUAUCCCACCUGGGGAGUACGUUCGCAAGAAUGAAACUCAAAGGAAUUGACGGGGACCCGCACAAGCGGUGGAGCAUGUGGUUUAAUUCGAAGCAACGCGAAGAACCUUACCGAAUCUUGACAUCCCUCUGACCGGUCUUUAAUCGGACCUUCUCUUCGGAGCAGAGGUGAAGGUGCUGCAUGGUUGUCGUCAGCUCGUGCCGUGAGGUGUCGGCUUAAGUGCCAUAACGAGCGCAACCCUUAUCGAUAGUUGCUAGCAGGUUAUGCUGAGGACUCUAUUGAGACUGCCGUCGUAAGAUGUGAGGAAGGUGGGGAUGACGUCAAAUCAGCACGGCCCUUACGUCCGGGGCUACACACGUGUUACAAUGGGGGGUACAGAAGGCAGCUACACGGCGACGUGGUGCUAAUCCCGAAAGCCUCUCUCAGUUCGGAUUGGAGUCUGCAACCCGACUCCAUGAAGCUGGAUUCGCUAGUAAUCGCGCAUCAGCCACGGCGCGGUGAAUACGUUCCCGGGCCUUGUACACACCGCCCGUCA